RNAcentral lists this ribosomal RNA (357 nucleotides) under uncultured bacterium. RNAcentral describes it as "bacterial SSU rRNA". It matches the Rfam family "Bacterial small subunit ribosomal RNA", at positions 29 to 377 of the family's 1533-position model. The record is from RNAcentral.
AACGAACGCUGGCGGCGCGCUUAACACAUGCAAGUCGAACGAGAAGGCGUAGCAAUACGCUUGUACAGUGGCGAACGGGUGAGUAAUACGUGGGCGACCUACCCUCGAGUGGGGAAUAACCCGCCGAAAGGCGGGCUAAUGCCGCGUACGCUUCCAUCUUUAUGGAGGUGGAAGGAAAGCCGUGCCGUGGGCACGGCGCUCAAGGAUGGGCUCACGUCCUAUCAGCUUGUUGGAGGGUAACGGCCUACCAAGGCUCCGACGGGUAGCUGGUCUGAGAGGACGAUCAGCCACACUGGCACUGCGACACGGGCCAGACUCCUACGGGAGGCAGCAGUGAGGAAUAUUGCGCAAUGGGCG